AUCCGGUACGAGGACAGUGUCAGGUGGGCAGUUUGACUGGGGCGGUCGCCUCCUAAAGAGUAACGGAGGCGCCCCAAGGGUCCCUCAGAAUGGUUGGAAAUCAUUCGAAGAGUGCAAAGGCAGAAGGGAGCUUGACUGCGAGACCUACAAGUCGAGCAGGGACGAAAGUCGGGCUUAGUGAUCCGGUGGUACCGCAUGGAAGGGCCA
Molecule: ribosomal RNA, 207 nt
Filed under: Paenibacillus polymyxa
Lineage: Bacteria; Bacillati; Bacillota; Bacilli; Caryophanales; Paenibacillaceae
Description: partial 23S ribosomal RNA
Rfam family: Bacterial large subunit ribosomal RNA
Source: RNAcentral